CCAUUCUUAGGCAAUGUUUCUCUAAUUUUGGGAGGAAUGUAUCCACUAAGACGAGAGGCCAGGCUCCGUUUUCCAGAGAGUCGUUUUACCUUUGGGGAUUUAAAAUAAAGGCAAUCAUACAUCCAUGCAGGAUCAUGUAUGACGGCGUGUCUUGUAAGACUUUGCUGCAGUGAAGGGGAUGGGAAGGAGAAAAGUCAAACCUGAGAUAUUCUUUAUGUCCAAACUUUGAAUAUAUUAAAAAUGUCAUGAUUUUAAAUCCUUGAAAAAUCUGUUAGUUGAACUAUCAUUAAAAGUCUGUCUCCUUUCCCAUGCA
Long non-coding RNA from Gracilinanus agilis (Agile Gracile Mouse Opossum), 313 nucleotides. RefSeq lists it as uncharacterized. The record is from RefSeq and is a predicted model, not a curated record. NCBI's taxonomy places the organism in Eukaryota, Metazoa, Chordata, Mammalia, Didelphimorphia, Didelphidae. The transcript is spliced from 2 exons.